Triticum aestivum (bread wheat) is the source of this 125-nucleotide non-coding RNA. The record is from Rfam. Lineage: Eukaryota; Viridiplantae; Streptophyta; Magnoliopsida; Poales; Poaceae.
AUCCUACUCCCUCCGUCCGAAAAAGCUUGUCCAAGGUUGUCCCUCAAAUGGAUGUAUCUAGCACUAACUUGAUGCUAGAUACAUUCAUUUGAGGGACACGUUUUUUUGGACGGAGGGAGUAUGAU